UUUUAAAGACGAGGAGGGGCUAUGUGUUAAGCCUCUAAUUUGCUCAACUCUCUCCCGAAAGCCUUUGGCGACGCGAUCUCGGGAGAGUUCCUCCGCUUUUGAAGAUUUUUACUAUUUUUCUUUAAAAGUUUACAAUGGGAAAGGAGAAGGUUCACAU
Nelumbo nucifera (sacred lotus) is the source of this 157-nucleotide non-coding RNA. The record is from RefSeq and is a predicted model, not a curated record. Lineage: Eukaryota; Viridiplantae; Streptophyta; Magnoliopsida; Proteales; Nelumbonaceae.